RNAcentral lists this ribosomal RNA (402 nucleotides) under Triticum aestivum (bread wheat). RNAcentral describes it as "partial small subunit ribosomal RNA". Lineage: Eukaryota; Viridiplantae; Streptophyta; Magnoliopsida; Poales; Poaceae. The record is from RNAcentral.
AUGGUGGAUCAUGUCGUCGGUGCCACCUCCACCUAUGCCCUCUGGAAGAAGAUCAAAGACUACUUCCUCGCAAACCGCGCCGCUCGCUUCAUGAUCCUCAACCGGCAGUACCGGAACCUCAAGCAAGGUGACCUCUCGGUGGCUGAGUAUGCACGGCGCAUGAAACAACUCACUGACGCCCUCGCCGAUAUCGAGCACGCCAUCACCGAGGUCGAUCUCACGACCCAGUUCCUCCACGGCGUCGACAAGCGCCUUGACACCAUCCGUGUCGUCCUCGGCGAUCAGGAGCUCCCCUUCGACACUGUCCUCUCCUGCGUCAUCCUCACCGAGGAAUCUCAGGCUCAGCGCGCCACCGAGGAGGGCGCCUCGGCGUUCGCUCUCUCCGGUGGUGACCGCGGCUAG